This 397-nucleotide ribosomal RNA is filed under the name uncultured bacterium. Its description in RNAcentral is "partial 16S ribosomal RNA". It matches the Rfam family "Bacterial small subunit ribosomal RNA", at positions 523 to 918 of the family's 1533-position model. The record is from RNAcentral.
AUACGUAGGGGGCGAGCGUUGUCCGGAAUGAUUGGGCGUAAAGGGCGCGUAGGCGGCCUGUUAAGUCUGGAGUGAAAGUCCUGUUUUCAAGAUGGGAAUUGCUUUGGAUACUGAUGGGCUUGAGUGCAGGAGAGGUUAUCGGAAUUCCCGGUGUAGCGGUGAAAUGCGUAGAGAUCGGGAGGAACACCAGUGGCGAAGGCGGGUAACUGGACUGCAACUGACGCUGAGGCGCGAAAGUGUGGGGAGCAAACAGGAUUAGAUACCCUGGUAGUCCACACUGUAAACGAUGAAUGCUAGGUGUAGGGGGUAUCGACCCCUUCUGUACCGCAGUCAACACAAUAAGCAUUCCGCCUGGGGAGUACGGCCGCAAGGUUGAAACUCAAAGGAAUUGACGGGG